AUUACCUUACUGAGACGUUUCUUGUGACUGUAGCCAGUGUCAUGGAGGAUUUUAUUGGCGUGACAAGGUAGAUCGCCGAGAUCGAGCGUGAAAAACGCUCUGCAUUAGUAGCUCCUGUAGAAUGUUUUCUGGGUUGGCGUAUCCAUGGUCAACAAAACCAAGGUGCAAGACAGCAUGAGAGAUCGUGUAAACGAUGUGAACUCCAAAAGAUAAUCUGGCCAAAUUUAUUGUAACUAGAGAGUGCAAUCGUGCACUGCUUGGGGCCCAUCCCAAUGUCAUCACAUGGCUGUGGUGACUAGUGUAUAUCUGGGAGAAUUUUUCCUCGACUGAUACGGAGUGCAGGUGGAUCGAUUAUGAGAAAUGCGAACAUGUGAAGUUCAAGGCUAGAUGCACUUCACAUUCGGCGUGCGAUCUCAGCGUCUGGGACCUGUCUUGGUUGGAUGAUUAUUCAAGCCUGAUACUACUCGACACACCAAUGUUCAUGUCAAUGUAAUUUUUUCAGAGCUGCACUAUUUACGUGUUGGCGCUUACUUCGGUGUUACUGUUAGCGUGUUUCCCCCGGAUUGUUUCUAUCAUCAUGAUCGUGUGUUCUUGGGCUGAGCGAGCACAUGCACAAGUGUGCAGCUAUAACCCUGUGUAUCUUUGGUUACACUUUGUUCUGCAAUGCAUGUACUUUGUAACAUUAUGUGCUUGCACUGCUUUGUCUGGCCUGCGUAUUUCAGGACUAUUCAGUGCAUUAGACCCAGGUUUGUUUGGUUGCCGGAUGACCUCUUGUUGCGUCGCUCUGUAUUUGUGUUCAUCAAUUUUUGGGCUUGAGAAUUGAGCUGUUGUGUGGUUCCCAAUAUGAAAACAUCAUGCUGGUGCUCUGUGUUUCGAUUAUCGACUGUCGGAGCAGUCAUGCAUUUAUUAGCAGAACGGUCAAUACUGUAGUCUUUUCA
Sycon ciliatum is the source of this 938-nucleotide long non-coding RNA. RefSeq lists it as uncharacterized. The record is from RefSeq and is a predicted model, not a curated record. Lineage: Eukaryota; Metazoa; Porifera; Calcarea; Leucosolenida; Sycettidae. The transcript is spliced from 3 exons.